RNAcentral lists this ribosomal RNA (460 nucleotides) under uncultured bacterium. RNAcentral describes it as "partial 16S ribosomal RNA". It matches the Rfam family "Bacterial small subunit ribosomal RNA", at positions 338 to 795 of the family's 1533-position model. The record is from RNAcentral.
CCUACGGGAGGCAGCAGUGAGGAAUAUUGGUCAAUGGACGAGAGUCUGAACCAGCCAAGUAGCGUGAAGGAUGACUGCCCUAUGGGUUGUAAACUUCUUUUAUAUGGGAAUAAAACGUUCCACGUGUGGGAUUUUGUAUGUACCAUAUGAAUAAGGAUCGGCUAACUCCGUGCCAGCAGCCGCGGUAAUACGGAGGAUCCGAGCGUUAUCCGGAUUUAUUGGGUUUAAAGGGAGCGUAGGUGGAUUGUUAAGUCAGUUGUGAAAGUUUGCGGCUCAACCGUAAAAUUGCAGUUGAAACUGGCAGUCUUGAGUACAGUAGAGGUGGGCGGAAUUCGUGGUGUAGCGGUGAAAUGCUUAGAUAUCACGAAGAACUCCGAUUGCGAAGGCAGUUCACUGGACUGCAACUGACACUGAUGCUCGAAAGUGUGGGUAUCAAACAGGAUUAGAUACCCCAGUAGUC